Non-coding RNA from Acanthosepion pharaonis, 114 nucleotides. The record is from the annotation of a GenBank genome assembly. Lineage: Eukaryota; Metazoa; Mollusca; Cephalopoda; Sepiida; Sepiidae.
UUAUGGCCAUAUCACAUUGAAACACCAGUUCCUGAAUGAUCACAAAAGUCAAGCAACAUUGAGCCUGGUCAGUAACUAGAUGGGUGACUGCUUGAGAAUACCAGGUGUUGUAAG